UUUAUAGCUUAAAUAAAACAAAUUAUAAAUAAAAUAUGUUUAAGCUCAUAUAAGUUCCAGAAAAUUAUAGAGUCUGAUAUGAGAAGCUCAAAUCGAAUGGCACAGUGCAUACAACCCUGCGUAGAGUAUUUUAAGUAAAAGCAAUGAAGGUGGGGGCUGUCGAGUAGGCGGCACUCAGAGGCUGUAGUGCAAUAAGUCAAGUUAUCAAAGUUAAUAAUUCUUAAUGUUAGUGCAUAAAUAAGACAAGGGCUAUAAGGACACGCAGACGGACACAAGAAGGAGAGGGAGAAAGAGAGAGAAAGAGUGAGAGAGACAGCGAGACAAACGACAUGUAACUGGCAGUGCCCAUAAAAAUGAAAAAGAACCGAUGCCAGGCCAAAAAGAAAAGAAAAGAACGGCAAAGAAAAAGAGCCGGCUAAUUUGCAUAAAGAAAUCGGCUAGCGGCAAACGAGGGGCGAUGUGUGUGCAGCGAGACGGCAAAUAUGAAACUCUCGCAAGUGUUUAUGCUGACAUCGCGACAAAAAAGAAAAUACACACACAUCUGUGUUUAUACAACUGUUUGCCUUUAUUUGGCAAGCCUUUGUGGCUAAUAGCGCACACUGUUUGCUUUAAGCAGGAAAGCAUAAAUGCCACAAGAACCGAGCAAUAAAGCGCACAAUCAUUUCA
Molecule: long non-coding RNA, 666 nt
Organism: Drosophila montana
Lineage: Eukaryota; Metazoa; Arthropoda; Insecta; Diptera; Drosophilidae
Exons: 2
Source: RefSeq, a predicted model, not a curated record